Molecule: ribosomal RNA, 929 nt
Filed under: Russula sp.
Lineage: Eukaryota; Fungi; Basidiomycota; Agaricomycetes; Russulales; Russulaceae
Description: partial 28S large subunit ribosomal RNA
Rfam family: Eukaryotic large subunit ribosomal RNA
Source: RNAcentral
UUUACCCGCUUGAACUUAAGCAUAUCAAUAAGCGGAGGAAAAGAAACUAACAAGGAUUCCCCUAGUAACUGCGAGUGAAGCGGGAAAAGCUCAAAUUUAAAAUCUGGUGGUCUUUGGCCAUCCGAGUUGUAAUUUAGAGAAGCGUCUUCCGCGCUGGACCGUGCACAAGUCUCCUGGAAUGGAGCGUCAUAGAGGGUGAGAAUCCCGUCUUUGGCAUGGACACACCAGGGCUUUUGUGAUGCGCUCUCGAAGAGUCGAGUUGUUUGGGAAUGCAGCUCAAAAUGGGUGGUGAACUCCAUCUAAAGCUAAAUAUUGGCGAGAGACCGAUAGCGAACAAGUACCGUGAGGGAAAGAUGAAAAGCACUUUGGAAAGAGAGUGAAACAGUACGUGAAAUUGUUGAAAGGGAAACGCUUGAAGUCAGUCACGUCGACCGAGACUCAGCCUUGCCUCGGCUUGGUGUACUUCUCGGCUGACGGGUCAGCAUCAAUUUUGCCCCUUGGAUAAUGGCGAGGGAAAUGUGACACCUUUAUGGUGUGUUAUAGUCUCUCGUCGCAUGCAAGGGUUGGGAUUGAGGAACUCAGCACGCGCCUUUUGGUGUCGGGGCUUUGCCCACGAUACGUGCUUAGGAUGUUGGCAUAAUGGCUUUAAACGACCCGUCUUGAAACACGGACCAAGGAGUCUAACAUGCCUGCGAGUGUUCGGGUGGAAAACCCGUGCGCGCAAUGAAAGUGAAAGUUGGGACCUCUGUCGUGGAGGGCACCGACGCCCGGACCAGACCUUCUGUGACGGCUCUGCGGUAAAGCAUGUAUGUUAGGAGGGGAAAGAUGGUGAACUAUGCCUGAAUAGGGUGAAGCCAGAGGAAACUCUGGUGGAGGCUCGUAGCGAUUCUGACGUGCAAAUCGAUCGUCAAAUUUGGGUAUAGGGCGAA